UGUGCCUAAGCAAACAUUUGGAAAAGCCAUCAGACUCACAGUAAAUUCAAACAAAAGUCCUGUCCGCCCAACACUGUCCAUCCUCACCCCAGGUGGGACUGAGGGUGGCAGUCCUGAGGUGUGCCUGGCAGCAGGCUUCUUACCCAAGGAUGAAGUCAUGAAUCUGACCCAGGUGAAAAAGGGUCCUUUAAGCCACAGGACAAUCACUGCAGCUUUGUCAAGUAGUAAUACCUUCUACUAUGCGGGAUACUCCGAAGACGGUAUAGAGAACUGUGAGAUGAUGAACGUUAAGGCUGAGAGAACGAAGAGUACCAGUGAUGAUGACGGAACAAAGAGUACCAGUGAUAAUGACCCUACCAAAGGUAGUGACAUAGCUGUUCCUACUUCGGUCGUUUGCAAAGAUGAGGAACCCCCCUCUGAUCAAACUGAUACCAACUAUCCCAAUUACACAAAGGUGAACUUCACAUCACUAGUUGUGUAUGGUUUAAGAGUUCUGUUUGCCAAAGCCGUGGCAUUCAAUGUGUUAUUUACUGUCAAGGCCCUUGUGUUCUAGGUAAGUGGACUUAACUUUGUUUAUGUGUGGCAGAUUGUUGACAUGAAUUAAUGAAAUUUCAAACCAAUAUAAUAAAAUCCUUCUAUCCCUUACUAUUCUGUUUACAGACCUAUUUGGACUACACAUAAUCAGUUCUAAUUUCCUUCCACGUUUGGUUUGUCAAUAGCUUUUUUACAAAAUAUAAUUAUUUAGUGAUUUUCUCUGUGUUGAAUGCUGUAAUGCUCCCUGCUUGCAAUUUGGAAAUACUAGAGACACGUACUGAAAAACAUUUAUUGUGAAUAUUUCUAUUUACUUUUAUUAUUAUUGUAUUAUUUGUAUUUUAAGUACAUGAAUGCUUUGCAGUUUGUUUAGAAAUGUACAAAGCCUGCCACUAGAGAACCCUAACCACGUUUUCACCAGUACAUUGAAACAGUCAAACCAUAUUAACAGAUUAAGAUCUUUCAGACACCUUGACUUCCAAGAAAUGGCUCCAACUGUUACUUUAUUCGCAUGCGUGCUUGAGCAGUAAGAAGCAUGCAUUAGUGACAAACACAUAGAAUGGAUAUCAACAGUCUACACGUCCUUAUUGAAAAUGCAGCUGGUUUUUAUUUAAUGCUGUAAUCAAAACAAAUAAUUUCAUACUUUUUAGCCAACAACAUUUAAGUGAAUAACAUUUUAAUUUAACAUCAACCUAACCAACCUGCAUUUUAAAUUGUGCCCAGUAGUCAUGUUGAAAAGUAAUAUAAUUCUCUAACUUUCUGGCAUAGGGCAGAAGGGUUUGUGCCACAAUCUUCUUUUAAAUGAUAUCUGGAACGAUCCUGACCAGAGAC
This is a long non-coding RNA of Esox lucius (northern pike), 1362 nucleotides long. NCBI's taxonomy places the organism in Eukaryota, Metazoa, Chordata, Actinopteri, Esociformes, Esocidae. The record is from Ensembl.